GAGUUUGAUCCUGGCUCAGGAUGAACGCUAGCGGCAGGCUUAACACAUGCAAGUCGAACGGUAAGGCCCUGCUUGCAGGGUACACGAGUGGCGCACGGGUGCGUAACGCGUAUGCAACCUACCUUUAACUGAGGAAUAGCCCCGAGAAAUUGGGAUUAAUACCUCAUAAUAUCAUAAAACAGCAUUGUUUAAUGAUUAAAACUCCGGUGGUUAAAGAUGGGCAUGCGUGACAUUAGUUUGUUGGUGAGGUAACGGCUCACCAAGACUACGAUGUCUAGGGGUUCUGAGAGGAUUAUCCCCCACACUGGUACUGAGACACGGACCAGACUCCUACGGGAGGCAGCAGUGAGGAAUAUUGGGCAAUGGACGAAAGUCUGACCCAGCCAUGCCGCGUGCAGGAUGACGGCCCUAUGGGUUGUAAACUGCUUUUAUAUGGGAAGAAACCCCUUUACGUGUAAAGGGCUGACGGUACCAUACGAAUAAGGACCGGCUAACUCCGUGCCAGCAGCCGCGGUAAUACGGAGGGUCCGAGCGUUAUCCGGAAUCAUUGGGUUUAAAGGGUCCGUAGGCGGACAGCUCAGUCAGUGGUGAAAGUUUGCAGCUCAACUGUAAAAUUGCCAUUGAUACUGGUUGUCUUGAAUUAAUGUGAAGUGGUUAGAAUAAGUAGUGUAGCGGUGAAAUGCAUAGAUAUUACUUAGAAUACCAAUUGCGAAGGCAGAUCACUAACAUUAUAUUGACGCUGAUGGACGAAAGCGUGGGGAGCGAACAGGAUUAGAUAC
This 779-nucleotide ribosomal RNA is filed under the name uncultured bacterium. RNAcentral describes it as "bacterial SSU rRNA". It matches the Rfam family "Bacterial small subunit ribosomal RNA", at positions 9 to 785 of the family's 1533-position model. The record is from RNAcentral.